Agrilus planipennis (emerald ash borer) is the source of this 384-nucleotide long non-coding RNA. RefSeq lists it as uncharacterized. The transcript has 3 exons. NCBI's taxonomy places the organism in Eukaryota, Metazoa, Arthropoda, Insecta, Coleoptera, Buprestidae. The record is from RefSeq and is a predicted model, not a curated record.
GAGGUUUGGCAAGUGAAUUGGAAGAACAGCUACAAGCGUUAGGAAAUAAGUUGAGAAAAGAAAAUACGGAAAAAGGGAAGCUAGAAAUUGAAUUAUCCCUUCGAUCGUCAAGUGAAUACAAGAUCGAUGUAAGUCAGAGAUUCAACGAAAAAUCAUUAAAAUUAAGUGAAAAUGAGGAGAAAAUAGUUUCAAAUGCUCAUCACAAAUGGAAACUUAGAGCCGCUGAAACCGAAUUUGAUAAGAAGCUAGAAGAAAUAUUGGACCAGAAAGAAGAAUACCUGCAGGACAUAAAAGACCUUACAAAGAUUGUCCGUGGGCAGGAAUUACAAAUUAAACACCUUCUGGUCAUAAUAGACAAACUGAGACCGCAUAUUGAAUCGAAGG